This 406-nucleotide ribosomal RNA is filed under the name uncultured bacterium. RNAcentral describes it as "partial 16S ribosomal RNA". It matches the Rfam family "Bacterial small subunit ribosomal RNA", at positions 30 to 526 of the family's 1533-position model. The record is from RNAcentral.
AUUGAACGCUGGCGGCAGGCUUAACACAUGAAAGUCGAGCGAGCGGCGGACGGGUGAGUAAUGUCUGGGAAACUGCCUGAUGGAGGGGGAUAACUACUGGAAACGGUAGCUAAUACAGCAUACCAUCAGAUGUGCCCAGAUGGGAAUGGCUAGGAGGUGGGGUAAUGGCUCACAUAGGCGACGAUCCCUUGCUUGUGUGAGAGGAUGAACAGCCACACGGGAACUGAGACACGGUCCAGACUCCGACGGGAGGCAGCAGUGGGGAAUAUUGCACAAUGGGCGAAAGCCUGAUGCAGCCAUGCCGCGUGUGUGCAGAAGGCCUUCGGGUUGUAAAGCACUUUCAGCGAGGAGGCGUUACUCGCAGAAGAAGCACCGGCUAACUCCGUGCCAGCCGCCGCGGUAAUUC